RNAcentral lists this long non-coding RNA (905 nucleotides) under Phoenix dactylifera (date palm). Its description in RNAcentral is "long non-coding RNA (PDAC_LNC017163)". The record is from RNAcentral. Lineage: Eukaryota; Viridiplantae; Streptophyta; Magnoliopsida; Arecales; Arecaceae.
UUGGUGCUGGAGGUUAUAUUCUCUUCAGUAGCGGUAGAGCGAGCAGCUUUCGAAUGUCUGCUGUCCCGCAGACAUCCGAGCAGCGGCCAUUGUUAGAUGGGGGGAGGAGAAGAAGACAUUGUGGGAUCUUUUCCCUAGGUCGGCUUCUAGUUCUCUUUCUCAAGAUUUGCUGGUAUUCUAUUUCUUCUUCUCCUUCUACUUGUUCUUGGUCUCCCGGGUGGAUAAUGGUCACAUGUUGUGCUUCUGGUUAUCUUUUUCUCUUUCUUUGUUUAUGUGCCUUCUCUUUUGCUUUUCUUAUUCUUCUUUGUUUCCCAAAUUGGGAGAGCGGCGCUGCUUUUGGGUUCUUUACAUGGCGGCUGUGAUGAUUCUUGCACGAGGGUUUCGCUACAAUUGAGAGGAAAGCAGUUAUUCUCUUGACGGCAAGGCAAUCUUGCAGGCAACUGUUUGCAGCCAUUUUGAUUUAUUAGUUGCAGAUCAAUCGGUGAAUCUGAGCCCCCCUCCAUCUUCCCCUUCUCUGCUUUCAAAUUGCUGGGAUUUUUGUUUUCAAUAUUCUUUUUUACGGUUGUGUUUUCGAGAGAUUUUAAUGUAGAUUUAGGUGGAGAGUGUAGGAAAUGGGGAGAUCUUGGUCAAAGUCUCUCUCCCUCUCUCCCUUUUCUUCAGUAUAUCUUCAAAAGUUUUGAACUUGGUUCAGAUAUUUUAUUUUGUUAACUUUGCUUUAAGUUCUCUCUGGACUUGAAUGAUAGUGAGAUAAUAUUUUGAUCGGUGUUUGUUCAAUCUACAUUUGGUAUUCUUGGUUGUUGGUGGGACUCCGUCUAAUUUGGUUCUGGAGGUUAUGUUCUAUAUUGUUCUGGCAUGUGAAAUGAUCUCUGACGUUCUAAAUCCACGGGAAAUUCUAAACCAUUGAG